Molecule: ribosomal RNA, 430 nt
Filed under: uncultured Smithella sp.
Lineage: Bacteria; Pseudomonadati; Thermodesulfobacteriota; Syntrophia; Syntrophales; Smithellaceae
Description: bacterial SSU rRNA
Rfam family: Bacterial small subunit ribosomal RNA
Source: RNAcentral
UGAGGAAUAUUGCGCAAUGGGGGCAACCCUGACGCAGCAACGCCGCGUGAGUGAGGAAGGUUUUCGGAUUGUAAAGCUCUGUCGAGCGGAAAGAAAUGCAUGAUGGCUAAUAUCCAUCAUGCUUGACGGUACCGCUAAAGGAAGCACCGGCUAACUCCGUGCCAGCAGCCGCGGUAAUACGGGGGGUGCAAGCGUUGUUCGGAAUUAUUGGGCGUAAAGAGCGUGUAGGCGGCUAGACAAGUCAGAUGUGAAAUCCCUGGGCUUAACCCAGGAAGUGCAUUUGAAACUGUCCUGCUAGAGUAAGGGAGAGGAAAGUGGAAUUCCUGGUGUAGAGGUGAAAUUCGUAGAUAUCAGGAGGAACACCGGUGGCGAAGGCGACUUUCUGGCCCUAUACUGACGCUGAGACGCGAAAGCGUGGGUAGCAAACAGG